AUGUGGAUCUCGCAGGAUGUUGAUGUCCACUUGGGUCCAUUGAUCGAACGUGUAGUUGGAGCCCUGGAUCGCUUGGUCGACCUUCAAAAAGCUGCCGCCAAGGAAAGAGCACGACCCGUGCUUGCACGCUUGAGGUUGCGCUAUCCUGAGGUUUCCAUUCAUGUUGUUGCGACCUCCGUUCCUGAGAACCGCCGACUGACAAAUUUCUUUGAAGUCGAGGACACCGCCUUGAUGGUGGCGACUGGAUGUGAACCUGAAAGAGUAGGAACAUUUGUUAGCUGUGUGUGGCGUUGGGCAAUGUCAACUUUGUUACAAUUUUUAUUUUUCAACUUUUGUAGUUUGAAUUCUUGGUUGAUGCCUUUGGGCAAAGUUUUGACUGACUGA
This 384-nucleotide ribosomal RNA is filed under the name Triticum aestivum (bread wheat). RNAcentral's name for it is "partial small subunit ribosomal RNA". Lineage: Eukaryota; Viridiplantae; Streptophyta; Magnoliopsida; Poales; Poaceae. The record is from RNAcentral.